GGGGAUUUAGCUCAGUGGUAGAGCGCUUGCCUAACAAGCGCGAGGCCCUGGGUUCGGUCCCUAGCUCCG
Rattus norvegicus (Norway rat) is the source of this 69-nucleotide non-coding RNA. The record is from Rfam. NCBI's taxonomy places the organism in Eukaryota, Metazoa, Chordata, Mammalia, Rodentia, Muridae.